Molecule: ribosomal RNA, 253 nt
Filed under: uncultured bacterium
Lineage: Bacteria
Description: partial 16S ribosomal RNA
Rfam family: Bacterial small subunit ribosomal RNA
Source: RNAcentral
UACGUAGGUGGCAAGCGUUGUCCGGAUUUACUGGGCGUAAAGGGCGUGCAGGCGGUUCGUUAAGUUCAGGGUGAAAGCUCCCGGCUCAACUGGGAGAGGUCCUUGGAUACUGGCGGAAUCGAGGGAGGUAGAGGAGAGUGGAAUUCCACGUGUAGCAGUGAAAUGCGUAGAUAUGUGGAGGAACACCGAUGGCGAAGGCAGCCCCCUGGGUUAACACUGACGCUCAUGCACGAAAGCGUGGGGAGCAAACAGG